Non-coding RNA from Trichobilharzia regenti, 48 nucleotides. The record is from Rfam. Lineage: Eukaryota; Metazoa; Platyhelminthes; Trematoda; Strigeidida; Schistosomatidae.
AUCCAGUUGACGAGUCUCAAAUAGGACGAAAUGAGCUUUAUCCUGGAU